This 752-nucleotide ribosomal RNA is filed under the name uncultured bacterium. RNAcentral's name for it is "bacterial SSU rRNA". It matches the Rfam family "Bacterial small subunit ribosomal RNA", at positions 8 to 754 of the family's 1533-position model. The record is from RNAcentral.
AGAGUUUGAUCCUGGCUCAGAUUGAACGCUGGCGGCAGGCUUAACACAUGCAAGUCGAGCGGGGAAAGGUAGCUUGCUACCUGACCUAGCGGCGGACGGGUGAGUAAUGCUUAGGAAUCUGCCUAUUAGUGGGGGACAACAUUCCGAAAGGAAUGCUAAUACCGCAUACGCCCUACGGGGGAAAGCAGGGGAUCUUCGGACCUUGCGCUAAUAGAUGAGCCUAAGUCAGAUUAGCUAGUUGGUGGGGUAAAGGCCUACCAAGGCGACGAUCUGUAGCGGGUCUGAGAGGAUGAUCCGCCACACUGGGACUGAGACACGGCCCAGACUCCUACGGGAGGCAGCAGUGGGGAAUAUUGGACAAUGGGCGAAAGCCUGAUCCAGCCAUGCCGCGUGUGUGAAGAAGGCCUUUUGGUUGUAAAGCACUUUAAGCGAGGAGGAGGCUACUUAGAUUAAUAUUCUAGGAUAGUGGACGUUACUCGCAGAAUAAGCACCGGCUAACUCUGUGCCAGCAGCCGCGGUAAUACAGAGGGUGCGAGCGUUAAUCGGAUUUACUGGGCGUAAAGCGUGCGUAGGCGGCUUUUUAAGUCGGAUGUGAAAUCCCUGAGCUUAACUUAGGAAUUGCAUUCGAUACUGGGAAGCUAGAGUAUGGGAGAGGAUGGUAGAAUUCCAGGUGUAGCGGUGAAAUGCGUAGAGAUCUGGAGGAAUACCGAUGGCGAAGGCAGCCAUCUGGCCUAAUACUGACGCUGAGGUAC